Molecule: ribosomal RNA, 253 nt
Filed under: uncultured bacterium
Lineage: Bacteria
Description: partial 16S ribosomal RNA
Rfam family: Bacterial small subunit ribosomal RNA
Source: RNAcentral
GACGAAGGAUGCAAGCGUUAUCCGGAUUCAUUGGGUUUAAAGGGAGCGUAGGCGGGCUUGUAAGUCAGUGGUGAAAUCUGUGGGCUUAACCCACAAACUGCCAUUGAUACUGCAGGUCUAGAGUACAGUUGCCGUUGGCGGAAUAUGACAUGUAGUGGUGAAAUACUUAGAUAUGUCAUAGAACACCGAUUGCGAAGGCAGCUAACGAAACUGUAACUGACGCUGAGGCUCGAAAGUGCGGGGAGCGAACAGG